Molecule: ribosomal RNA, 253 nt
Filed under: uncultured bacterium
Lineage: Bacteria
Description: partial 16S ribosomal RNA
Rfam family: Bacterial small subunit ribosomal RNA
Source: RNAcentral
UACGUAGGGUGCAAGCGUUGUCCGGAAUUAUUGGGCGUAAAGAGCUCGUAGGCGGUCUGUCGCGUCGGCUGUGAAAUCCCGAGGCUCAACCUCGGGUCUGCAGUCGAUACGGGCAAACUAGAGUAUUGCAGGGGAGACUGGAAUUCCUGGUGUAGCGGUGAAAUGCGCAGAUAUCUGGAGGAACACCGGUGGCGAAGGCGGCAUCCUGGACCGGCAUUGACGCUGAGGCGCGAAAGCCAGGGGAGCAAACGGG